GGUAUAGGUUUUCGGACCUAGAGACCGGCGCACGGGUGCGUAACGCGUAUGUAAUCUACCUUUUACAGAGGGAUAGCCCAGAGAAAUUUGGAUUAAUACCUCAUAGUAUUAUUGAAUGGCAUCAUUUAAUAAUUAAAGUCACAACGGUAAAAGAUGAGCAUGCGUCCCAUUAGCUAGUUGGUAAGGUAACGGCUUACCAAGGCAACGAUGGGUAGGGGUCCUGAGAGGGAGAUCCCCCACACUGGUACUGAGACACGGACCAGACACCUACGGGAGGCAGCAGUGAGGAAUAUUGGUCAAUGGGCGCAAGCCUGAACCAGCCAUGCCGCGUGCAGGAUGAAGCAUCUAUGGUGUGUAAACUGCUUUUGUACGAGAAGAAACACUCCUUCGUGAAGGAGCUUGACGGUAUCGUAAGAAUAAGGACCGGCUAACUCCGUGCCAGCAGCCGCGGUAAUACGGAGGGUCCAAGCGUUAUCCGGAAUCAUUGGGUUUAAAGGGUCCGUAGGCGGUUUAGUAAGUCAGUGGUGAAAGCCCAUCGCUCAACGGUGGAACGGCCAUUGAUACUGCAAGACUUGAAUUAUUAGGAAGUAACUAGAAUAUGUAGUGUAGCGGUGAAAUGCUUAGAUAUUACAUGGAAUACCAAUUGCGAAGGCAGGUUACUACUAAUAUAUUGACGCUGAUGGACGAAAGC
This 691-nucleotide ribosomal RNA is filed under the name uncultured Bacteroidota bacterium. RNAcentral describes it as "bacterial SSU rRNA". It matches the Rfam family "Bacterial small subunit ribosomal RNA", at positions 66 to 760 of the family's 1533-position model. The record is from RNAcentral. Lineage: Bacteria; Pseudomonadati; Bacteroidota.